Molecule: ribosomal RNA, 389 nt
Filed under: uncultured bacterium
Lineage: Bacteria
Description: partial 16S ribosomal RNA
Rfam family: Bacterial small subunit ribosomal RNA
Source: RNAcentral
AUACGUAGGUGGCAAGCGUUAUCCGGAUUUAUUGGGCGUAAAGAGUGAGCAGGCGGUUAAUUAAGUCUGAAGUGAAAGCCUGGAGCUCAACCCCGGAAAGGCUUGGGAAACGGUUUGAUUGGAGUGCGGUGAAGGGAAGGGGACUUCCUGGUGUAGCGGUGAAAUGCGUAGAUAUAUGGAGGACCACCAGUGGCGAAGGCGCUUCACUAGCCCGAAACUGACGCUCAGUCACGAAAGCGUGGGUAGCAAAUAGGAUUAGAUACCCUAGUAGUCCACGCUGUAAACGAUGACAACUAAAUAUUGCCGCGAGGCAGUGUUGAAGCUAACGCAUUAAGUUGUCCGCCUGGGGAGUACGGUCGCAAGACUGAAACUUAAAGGAAUUGGCGGGG